RNAcentral lists this unclassified non-coding RNA (236 nucleotides) under plant metagenome. RNAcentral describes it as "partial contains small subunit ribosomal RNA, internal transcribed spacer 1, and 5.8S ribosomal RNA". The record is from RNAcentral.
UUUCCGUAGGUGAACCUGCGGAAGGAUCAUUACCGAGUGAGGGCCCUCUGGGUCCAACCUCCCACCCGUGUUUAUCGUACCUUGUUGCUUCGGCGGGCCCGCCUCACGGCCGCCGGGGGGCACCCGCCCCCGGGCCCGCGCCCGCCGGAGACACCAUUGAACGCUGUCUGAAGAUUGCAGUCUGAGCAUCUUAGCUAAAUCAGUUAAAACUUUCAACAACGGAUCUCUUGGUUCCG